AUAACACGAAGAUUGGCAA
This 19-nucleotide small nuclear RNA is filed under the name Arabidopsis thaliana (thale cress). RNAcentral's name for it is "snRNA_06897". The record is from RNAcentral. Lineage: Eukaryota; Viridiplantae; Streptophyta; Magnoliopsida; Brassicales; Brassicaceae.